This 253-nucleotide ribosomal RNA is filed under the name uncultured bacterium. Its description in RNAcentral is "partial 16S ribosomal RNA". It matches the Rfam family "Bacterial small subunit ribosomal RNA", at positions 524 to 776 of the family's 1533-position model. The record is from RNAcentral.
UACAGAGGUCUCAAGCGUUGUUCGGAUUCAUUGGGCGUAAAGGGUGCGUAGGCGGCGCGGUAAGUCGGGUGUGAAAUCUCGGAGCUUAACUCCGAAACUGCAUUCGAUACUGCCGUGCUUGAGGACUGGAGAGGAGACUGGAAUUUACGGUGUAGCGGUGAAAUGCGUAGAUAUCGUAAGGAAGACCAGUGGCGAAGGCGGAUCUCUGGGCCUUGCCUGACGCUGAGGCGCGAAAGCUAGGGGAGCGAACAGG